UUUCUCUAACAUUAGUCAAAUGAAGCAGCAUCAUUUCGUUAUCAUUUCUCUUACCGCCCAAGGCCAUAUAAAUCCCACUCUCCAGCUCGCUAAAAACCUCUCACGCGCCGGUGCUCGCUGCACCUUCGUCACCACCGUCAAUGGAUUCCGCAAAUUGAACAACCUUCCGUCCAUCGACGGUUUAUUCUACGCGUCUAUCUCCGAUGGCAACGACGACGGCGCAGCUAAAAUGGACUUCGGCGAUUACUUGAAACAGUUAAAGCGCGUGGGAUCGGAAAAUCUCAAAAAACUUAUCGAUGAACUUGCCGGCGACGGUCAUCCAGUUACUUGCUUAGUCUACACAUUUCUCUGGGCGUGGGUUGCAGAGGUGGCGCGUGAGAUUAACUUGCCGUCUGCUUUUCUAGUUAUUCAAUCUGCUACUGCUUUUGCGAUUUAUCACCAUUUGUUUAGCAUCAAUAACAAUGGGGUUUACAGCUCUACUAGCGAAAUUGAGCUCUCGUUCCCAAUCAAAUUACCAGAAUUGCCCCUGUUUUCGCGCGAUGACAUUCCUUCCUUUUUACUGCAGAAUGAUCCUUACUCUUCUUUCAUGAUCCCUGUAAUGAGAGAACACAUACAAAACCUCGAACACGACCCUAAUCCUCGUGUUCUCAUCAACAUUUUCGACAAAUUAGAAGAGAAAUCCUUGAAAAUUCUCGAUAAAAUUGGGAUCUGCUCAAUUGGACCUUUGAUUCCUUCUGCUUUUCUCGAUGGAAAUGAACUCGAAGACAAGUCUUUCGGAUGCGAUUUGUUUGAGAAAUCUGAAACUUAUUGCCAGUGGCUGGAUUCAAAACCCGAAGGUUCGGUUGUUUAUGUAGCAUUUGGAAGCGUAGCAAUGGUGAAAGAGGAACAGAAGGAAGAGGUUAUGCAGAGUUUAAUGGAAAGUGAAAUGCCAUUUUUAUGGGUAAUUAGAUCUAGCAAAGAAGAUGACAAGAAAAGAAUGAUGAAAUUUAUGGAUUGAAUGGAAAAGGGAUGAUUGUUCCUUGGUGUUCACAAAUGGAGGUACUUUUUCAUAAGUCAAUUGGGUGUUUCGUGAGCCAUUGUGGAUGGAAUUCGACCCUAGAAAGCACGGUAGCUGGUGUGCCACUGAUUGGAGUCCCACAGUUAUCCGAUCAAAUGACGAACAUCAAGAUGGUGGAGGAGGUUUGGGGAACAGGAGUGAGAGCAAGAGUAGAAGAAGAAGGAGGAAUUGUGAAAAGAGAAGAGUUAAAGAGGUGUUUGGAAGUUUUAAUGGGAGAUGGAGAGAAAGGAAAUGAAAUCAGAAGGAAUGUGAAGAAAUAUAGAGAUUUGGCUAUGGAAGCUGUGAAAGUGGGAGGUUCUUCACAUAAUAAUUUGAACGAGUUUUUAGAGAGUUUGUGAGGCAUUUCGACCUCGGAUUCGACUCGUGGAAUUAUACUGGAUAUGUUGUUAAAAAUUCCCAAAAGACGGAGACAAUGAAGAAUUGGCCAAGACCCACAACGCCAAUGAAGAUUUGGAGUUCUUGGGUUGUAAGGCAUUUCUAUUUCUUGGACUGAAUUGAUUUCUGAAUUUUGGUGCAUAAAGAAUUGGGUAAUUUGUUGAAGUUAUUAAGCUAUUUAUGUAAUUUUGUUAAGUUAUUUUAAAUGUAAAAUGAUAGUUU
RNA transcript from Solanum verrucosum, 1654 nucleotides. It is a transcript of the gene named phloretin 4'-O-glucosyltransferase-like, with no coding region annotated. Lineage: Eukaryota; Viridiplantae; Streptophyta; Magnoliopsida; Solanales; Solanaceae. The transcript has 2 exons. The record is from RefSeq and is a predicted model, not a curated record.